RNAcentral lists this long non-coding RNA (2884 nucleotides) under Glycine max (soybean). RNAcentral describes it as "long non-coding RNA (GMAX_LNC004031)". The record is from RNAcentral. Lineage: Eukaryota; Viridiplantae; Streptophyta; Magnoliopsida; Fabales; Fabaceae.
UCAUAAUUUAUAUCAAGACUAUUUUUCACACAUAAAUGAAUCAUUUUGUCUCCCUGAUCCCAUAUCAUUCGGGUUGAUAUUCAAAUGGUAGUAAUUUACUAUGCUAUUCUGAAGCCUCAUAGAACUAUUCGGCAUCAAACUAUUAAAUUAGAUACACCUAAAUAUGCUGCAGCAUUAUAAACCAGCUUUUCCCCUUCACCCAACUUUCUCUUGCCAUAGUGACCUGAUGUUUCAAAUUUGAAUUUUAAUUAGUGUCACAAAAUAGUGAAUACAGUGUAUACACGCACGGAUAAUGCUAAUUGCUAUGACAAGUUUUUUUUUUUUAGUUUUUAAUUUGCAAGCAUAAAAUAAAUCAAAGAAAACCAACAAAAUGUGAAAAUGUAAAAAAAAAAUGGUGUUUUUCCUUGAGGUCCACAGAAUAAAUGUGAAGCAACAAUCAACCAACCAUGCAGAUAAGGCUGAGAGAUAAGCCACAUUUUAUGCUCACACACUCACUCCACACUCCAUCCAUCACAAAACUUUCCCCCACACUAAAAACAAAUUUAUAUAUAUACAUCCCUUUCCCACACUUUUUCCACCCUCAAACACGUAACUACUAUUUCGAACUCCGCCAUGGCUGCCACCACCGCCACCGCCACGUCAUACUUUUUUGGCACCCGCCUCAACAACCCGACAACCUUAAACAACGGAAGAUUCCACGCGCUCCUCAACUUCGGCAAAAAGAAGGCGGCGGCGCCGCCACCGAAGAAAAAGGAAGUGAAAGUGAAACCCUCCGGCGACCGGCUGGUGUGGUUUCCUAAUGCGGAGCCGCCGGAGUGGCUCGACGGAAGCAUGAUCGGCGACCGCGGGUUCGACCCGUUCGGUUUCGCGAAGCCCGCGGAGUACCUGCAGUUCGACCUGGACUCGCUGGACCAGAACCUCGCGAAGAACGUCGCCGGCGAUGUGAUCGGAACCAGGGUGGAGGUCGCCGACGUUAAACCAACGCCGUUUCAGCCCUACUCGGAGGUUUUCGGGAUUCAGAGGUUCCGCGAGUGCGAACUCAUUCAUGGAAGGUGGGCAAUGCUGGGUGCUCUCGGUGCUUUGGUCGUUGAGGCUCUCACCGGAGUCGCGUGGCAAGACGCCGGAAAGGUAACGUUUUACUGUCUCUUGCCUUUAACUGAUUCUGCUUUCGAAUACCCUUUUGCUCUGUUCUUUUGGGUUUCGCCGUUUUUUAGAGACCAUGCAUUGUUUUCAAUUCGGCAAUUUAUCGAACACUUGUUGUGAAUUGUGAUUAUUGUUCAUUAGCGUGGUUUUACGCUUUUAUUAGUUUGAUUCUCCUUUCGUUAACGACACAGUGAUCGGAUAUCUGCGUGUGGAAACUUGGAUGCUGAACUUUAGUGACGGGACAAUAGGAUUUGCAUGGCGAUGUUGAUUUUUUUAUUUUUUAUUUUGUGAGAUGGUGGUGUUUUGUUGUGUUGUGUAAAUGAGUUAUGGACAACGUAAGAUGGUCCCCCAUGUCAGUGACGGUAACAGUAACAUACCUUGGACGUGUCUUAUUGUUAUCCACUGGAUUGCAUAUAGUGCGACCAGAUAUUUACAAUAAAUUAAUAUAAUAUAUUUUUUACAAAUUUAAAUUUAAUACUUUAACAAGUUGUAAAAAUAAUUACAAUCUCAUCUUCGUCUUUUGGUAGACGGUGCUUCUGUGGUAGACAGUGCUUCAGUCUUGGGUUUCAAAGAGUAUUUAUGAAAAUAAUUAUGUUUAUCUCAUUCUAAAGAAAUGAAUAGAGACUCAAAACAUGUAACCUAUCAAAUACAAGACUUAUUCCACUUAUCAACUCCUUGGGAUUUCUUGUUUUCUUUUUAUAUGCAUAUGAUUGCAAAAGGUUAUCCGAUUAGCACUCGAGGUAGGUUUGGCACUUAACAUUUGUAGGUAAAUUUGUCUCCUUCCAUUCAAGUUUUCUUCAUAUAUAAGAGUUCACAGUUUGAAUCCUUGAUUACUUAUUUAAGGGACUUAAGCUCAACAUUCUUUCUAUGAAUACAAUUUAAGAGAAUAAAUUGAUUAUUUACUUUAAAAUUAUUCAUUUUAUAAUAAUUAUUUUAAAACUUUCAUUUAUAUUAUUUUUAAUGAAUUAAAAAAAAUAAAUUUAUAAUAAAAUAAAUAAAUUUUAUUUUUAUAGCAUUUAUUUCUUUUCACCACAUGAACUAUUUUAUCUCACACAUUUUUAUAUCUUUUUUAUAAUAAAAAAAAUUGUACUAAUAUAAUUUAUGUAGUGCGAUUAUAUGGCUGCCUGAAGAUGAUGAUUACCGUUGUGGCCAAGAACGAUGAAAACAAAGUCCACAUUAUUAUUUGGUUUGUCGCGUAUAAUACCUUUUUGUAGGGUUUCCCUCAUUCCCUAAAUGAACAAAAUGGCAUACAAGUCUUAGACAAGUAUACAUUCAGAAUGGAUUUUGUGUGAACAAUAUUAACCACUCAAAUAUUGAAGGUAGACGAUUAUUCUUUUAAAAUUGGUUCCAUAUUGCAUUCAGUGAGAAAGACACAUAAAAAUAGGUCCCAUGAUUAUACAAACGAUCAUCUAUAGUAAGAGUUUGUUUAUUUUUAUCAUAAUUAUUUUUAAAAUCAUAUUAACUAUAAUUUCUAAUUGAUGAAAAAUGCUGAGAAAUACAUAAUCAUAAAACUCAAAUAAACAAUACAAAACAUGUAAGUUUAUUCUAGUGGUCAGUAAUAAUAAUAAUGAUAAUAUAAAACAGUUUUACAUUAUAAUUAAUCGAAAUAACCGUUGAUAUAAUUUUUUAUGUGGUCAUGGUAAAAAUCAACCACCUCUAAUUGUUUUGAUCCUUUAACUCUAAUUUUCAGGUAGAGCUGGUGGAAGGAUCAUCUUACCUGGGGCUUCCUCUUCCAUUUUCA